GCUGCUGUCGAAGUUCCAUCUACAAACGGAUAAUACUUUGGUAUUAGUGUAUACGAGUCGUUGAAGGAUCAAUACCAAACUUCUUAAUAAAACAAGAAGUUUGGUAUUGAUCCAUUCGGUUCAGUAGUGUUUUAUUCACAUAAUCAUUUUUCAUUUUCAUUUCUUUUAUUCAACUUAUGAAAACCGCUGUAUUUCAGCAGGAAGGAGGGUGAAGUAAUAAAGACUAAAUUAAAAAAUAAUGAAUGGUGAAAAUGGAAUCCCUUUGAGAGAGGAGGGGCGGAUGUAGCCAAGUGGAUCAAGGCAGUGGAUUUGUGAAU
This 317-nucleotide unclassified non-coding RNA is filed under the name Nectandra turbacensis. RNAcentral's name for it is "psbA-trnH intergenic spacer region". The record is from RNAcentral. Lineage: Eukaryota; Viridiplantae; Streptophyta; Magnoliopsida; Laurales; Lauraceae.